RNAcentral lists this long non-coding RNA (1163 nucleotides) under Lepisosteus oculatus (spotted gar). RNAcentral's name for it is "lncRNA (ENSLOCG00000022997.1)". Lineage: Eukaryota; Metazoa; Chordata; Actinopteri; Semionotiformes; Lepisosteidae. The record is from RNAcentral.
CUUGAAUUUAAUUCUAGGAAUCAAUGGGUGUUCUCCAGUCUCACUGCCUGCUAACAAUGUUCAUCAGCUAAGAGAAGAGAAAGGUGGUGAUUUCUCAAAGCCCUUCACUGUACACAGGUCAAUCUCAGUAGUGAGAUUUGGUAGCUUGGUUACCUAUAGAAUUGGAGACCUAGAGACUUUGCUGCACAAGUGUCCACACCAGCUGCCAGUUCUGAGGAAGAGGAAUUGAUGCUGCAUCUUGUUGCCAUGGUUCAGCUGUGAAAACCACACCUCAUGGAACAAAAGCUUUUAAAGUAUGUGCUUAUCUCCUUUCAAGUCAGGACAGCUUUCUGAGACACGCAACUCUUUGAACUGUGUUACAUUAACCAAUACCCUGAUGACAUCAUGCUACACGACUGAUGAAAGUAAGUGGAUUUACAAGAACAGAUUGCAAGUCCUGGCAACUUCAAGAAUGGCUGCCAGAGCCGACUUGGACCACAAAGCCAUGAAAUACCUUGCUGAUAUAGGCAGCGUGUUUGGAGAAAAUCGCCUUCACAGUACGCACGCAGGUUUGCUGGAAAAGUUCCUUCUGCCUGGGAGCCAUUCCUGACGUAAUAGACUUUGUCUUGUAUCCAGUGUCUGAAAUCUCAGAGCCCCACAGUACUCGUCUGCUCUUUACUUGCUGAAUGCUUUCCCGCAGUGCUUUAACAAAAUGUUCCUGCUUUGCUAUACAAGCUACAGUAUUUAGGAAUUUAACAUGCUGUCAGCUUAACAUCUUCAUCCAGGCUUCAUCCCUUCGUUAGCCAAUUUUUAACCGCACUGUCGUUGGACCUGACUGUGCUUUCUCUGUGUAGUCCUGGGGUAUCUCAAACUUAUGUGCUGUUCUUUUAUUUAGGCUUGUCUGUGCUUCGUCAUGGUUUCAAUGGGGACUUUUUACUUGAUCGUGCUCAAGAGCACUUUGGCCAGACUUUCUGCCACUUCUGAAAAUGGUUUAAACGGAGGUUGAGUGUGCUUCAGUUUUGGGUGAUAGCCAUACGUCCCUCUGCUUUUCGUUGGGCUUCGCCAUGUUUCUGUCAUGCCUUACUGCACCUCUCUGCAGUAGCUCGAUGUUUCAGACGCCACGCUUGAGCGAUAACAGACCAAACUCAUCUUUUAUGUGUUUAUAUAGCCUGAGCUGGGCUUCC